AAAGAGCCCCCAACUUGAGCCGUAAUAUGUUGUUUCAAAUGAGGCGACGUGAGGGUGGUUAAGAGGGAGAGGAAAAAGUAGAGGGGAGAUCAGAUUAUUUUCGCUUUAAAUAAUCACUUGGAUGGCAUAAAAUCUAGCGCUGUGCGCAUCACGCACCGGAUUGUCUCUUUUUUUUUUUUUGUUAUUAUUUUUGCUUUCCUCCAGCUUCAUGGAUUCCAAUCUUACAGAAAUGGAGUCAAAACUUUGGCCAGUUCUAAUUCUGCUCUGACACAAUCAUGCAAAGGAGAAGACGCACUGCAGAGAAGUCCUGCAUGCAGGAUGUCGAAUCAGAUAUCAACCUGAUCAAUGACGCUUCUGCUCCAAGAGAAACGACAAUACCUGGAGCCACGGUAAAAACCCUGCGUCACCCAAUCCUUCACUGACACCACGUCCAGCAUUUAAUCCAAGCACCCCCAUCAUCUUCCACCAAUAGCUACAGUUGAAGGCAGCAGAUCCUCCUGAUUCGCUGCUGAAGAAGACGGUCGCACCUUCCUGAGUCUGGUUCUGCUGGUUCCUUCCUGUCGAAAGAUAACUUUCCCUUUUCCACAGAUUAAAAUAAUUGACGAACUGUCGUGAUCAACCGAUCACAUUUGUUUUUAUAUUUAAAUAUUUAGAUUAAGGUGGAAUGCAUUUGUUUAGAUUUCAACUGAAAUCUGACAUCAGAAAAAAAUCGGAUUCAAUGCAUCGUAGUUCGGAUGGGUUCAGCUUUUCUGUAUUAAAAGCUCACUUGGAUAACUUUAUGUAGUUCAGGCCCUGUACUCAAUUUAUACACAUGUAUAAAAGUUGUUGAAAUACCUCAAAUCAGUACCUAAAGAUUUUUUUAUUUCUUAUUUGACUUUAAUACAUGUUACCUAAUUAUUUUCUAAUAAAACACAUUUUCUGUGUGGUUCA
Poeciliopsis prolifica (blackstripe livebearer) is the source of this 930-nucleotide long non-coding RNA. RefSeq lists it as uncharacterized. The record is from RefSeq and is a predicted model, not a curated record. The transcript has 4 exons. Lineage: Eukaryota; Metazoa; Chordata; Actinopteri; Cyprinodontiformes; Poeciliidae.